UACGGAGGGGGCUAGCGUUGUUCGGAAUGACUGGGCGUAAAGCGCGCGUAGGCGGAUAGGUAAGUUGGGGGUGAAAGCCCAGGGCUCAACCCUGGAAUGGCCUUCAAGACUCCCUGUCUGGAGUUCGAGAGAGGUAGGUGGAAUUCCGAGUGUAGAGGUGAAAUUCGUAGAUAUUCGGAGGAACACCAGUGGCGAAGGCGGCCUACUGGCUCGACACUGACGCUGAGGCGCGAAAGCGUGGGGAGCAAACAGG
Molecule: ribosomal RNA, 253 nt
Filed under: uncultured bacterium
Lineage: Bacteria
Description: partial 16S ribosomal RNA
Rfam family: Bacterial small subunit ribosomal RNA
Source: RNAcentral